AGCUCCAAUAGCGUAUAUUAAAGUUGUUGCGGUUAAAAAGCUCGUAGUUGGAUUUCUGUCGAGGACGAUCGGUCCGCCUUCUGGGUGAGUAUCUGGUGCGGCCUUGGCAUCUUCUUGGAGAACGUAUCUGCACUUGACUGGGUGGUGCGGUAUCCAGGACUUUUACUUUGAGGAAAUUAGAGUGUUUCAAGCAGGCGAACGCCUUGAAUACAUUAGCAUGGAAUAAUAAGAUAGGACCUUGGUUCUAUUUUGUUGGUUUCUAGAGCUGAGGUAAUGAUUAAUAGGGAUAGUUGGGGGCAUUCGUAUUUAACAGUCAGAGGUGAAAUUCUUGGAUUUGUUAAAGACGGACUACUGCGAAAGCAUUUGCCAAGGAUGUUUUCAUUG
RNAcentral lists this ribosomal RNA (384 nucleotides) under Gymnodinium sp. Its description in RNAcentral is "SSU rRNA". It matches the Rfam family "Eukaryotic small subunit ribosomal RNA", at positions 587 to 975 of the family's 1831-position model. The record is from RNAcentral. Lineage: Eukaryota; Dinophyceae; Gymnodiniales; Gymnodiniaceae.